AUGAAUUCCUCUCACUUCCUCUCCCUUUUUUCCUGUUAUCUUAAGUUACCUGCCGGUAAUGAUGAAGCGUACAGUGUGAUUACCUCAGUACCUGCUGCUGACUGUCCUACUGGUUUGGAUAAAUCGAAAAUGCAAGAGUCUCAAAAUGAAGACUCUGACAUAUACCAUGUGUACUCCACCAUCUCUGAGGAGCCACCUCCAUCAGCCCUGAAGGACAUGGUGUACAGCACCCCGCAGGCACAUUGAAACAAAAACAUUUUAAUACUGUAUAGAGAAACAGAACGCAGACAGCCUUAAGAACUGUUUCAAAUGAUGUGUAAUUUUUAAACUUGUCCUUUAUAGUGUAACCUAUGAUCUAGGGAGGAAAAUUGAUGUAUCUGCCAUGAAUGAACACAUUCUUAGCUGGAUGGCUUCUUAUCUGUCAGAGAGGGACCAGCAGGUUGGGAAGGGUGUUACUUCUCUGAGCCUUUGCCCGUCACUUGCGGAGUGCCACAAGGCAGUGUCCUGAGCCCCCUUCUGUUUUAAUGCUGGUUUUGUUUUCAGUUUGUGAGUCUGUGUGUGUGUCUUUCUCUGUGGAUAGAUUUUUGUAAAAAGAUGCAGUCAUGAAACUAUACAGAUGUGUUGUUGAGAUCAAAUUUAAGGUUAAGUUCGAAGAUGGGCAUGGGACCAUUGGCGAAGGGACCAUUGGCCCUCCUCUUUAUGCCCCCCACCUUAUGGCCAAUUUAUCAUCAAAAAUCUUUACAGGUCUUUAAUUGAGAUACAAAACAAAGUCAAGUUCAAAGAUGGGUGUGGUCAAAUCGAGCGUGCCAUAAGUAGGGGGCUGGGAAGUGGGAAGGGGCCAUUGGCCUCCCACUUCAACCCCUUACCCGAUUUGGCGUCACAGCUGGAGUAAUCCCAUCGGAAGAUGGUUUCUAGUUGUUUCAUGUUAUUGACAUGAAAACAACCAGCUAAAGUCCUUGUUUCCUAUACGGACAAUUUAGACAUUCUGAAGGGGAUAUUAGUUGAUCAGUGUAAUACAUUAUUCAUCUGAUUGUCGGACAAUAGACUGCUUUUACACUUUGGCAUAGUCUUAUUUAAGGCUAGGAAUAACUCUGACCAGGACAUUAAGACUGCUGUUAGUUUGUGGUAUGAGGCCCUUAUAUGAACUUUGAAACACAAACUCUCUAGACCCACAAAUGUAAAUGACACCUCCCUUUUGUUUGAUUAAGAACCAACCAAAGUGUCAAAGUACGGGGCGGAGCAGUGAAUCCCAUGCAGAAGUGCCAAAAAUGGCUGUUCCUCGAAUGGCCACUUGAGGUUGGCUCCAAAAGCGAGUCAAUGUCCACACACCCCCAUGUUAAAAGGCCUAACUUUAUAGCAGAAAUAAACAUGUUCGUGUUCGGUCUCUAUAGCUAAUAUCCCUGGAGCCCCCAAUUCUUCACCUUCACAACAGCUCUUCAAAACCUAUGGGUGAAGUCACAGCGAAUAUGUCCAUGUUUUAUACAGUCUAUGCAGCCAAAACACAUUACAUUGACAGAAUUGACAGAUACAACUGGCGAACAAAAUGGCUCUCAUUGCUCCCAAGCAGUAUGCACACUAGAUGAUAGUUAACAACAUGGAGGUCCCACAUACGUCUGUUUGACACAAAGCUACUAUCUGUAUCUGUAUGUUACAAAAACCCUGUAUUUGUAUCUAUAUUCUGAUUUUACCUGAAGUGGCCGUGGUUUCUAUCGGCAGUUGUAAG
Molecule: long non-coding RNA, 1723 nt
Filed under: Cottoperca gobio
Lineage: Eukaryota; Metazoa; Chordata; Actinopteri; Perciformes; Bovichtidae
Description: lncRNA (ENSCGOG00000023310.1)
Source: RNAcentral